UGUGGGAGCGAGCCUGCUCGCGAUGGCGGAGUGUCAUUAAAGCCGCUGUCAACAGAUAGACCGCCAUCGCGAGCAGGCUCGCUCCCACA
Molecule: unclassified non-coding RNA, 89 nt
Filed under: Pseudomonas mediterranea
Lineage: Bacteria; Pseudomonadati; Pseudomonadota; Gammaproteobacteria; Pseudomonadales; Pseudomonadaceae
Source: RNAcentral